CCCUUCUCAGGAUCGCUCCUGGAGAGUUUCCAAUACUCUUCCAGUCUCGGCUACAGGAGGGAGAGUCAAGCAGAGGCCUAUCCAUUCCAUGUCUAGCCUGAGCAGUGGCUAGUGAGUGGAAGACAAUCUGCUACAAGC
This is a small nucleolar RNA of Ornithorhynchus anatinus (platypus), 138 nucleotides long. Lineage: Eukaryota; Metazoa; Chordata; Mammalia; Monotremata; Ornithorhynchidae. The record is from RefSeq and is a predicted model, not a curated record.